RNAcentral lists this unclassified non-coding RNA (322 nucleotides) under soil metagenome. RNAcentral's name for it is "partial contains 5.8S ribosomal RNA, internal transcribed spacer 2, and large subunit ribosomal RNA". The stretch from base 2 to 119 matches the Rfam family "5.8S ribosomal RNA", at positions 37 to 154 of the family's 154-position model. The record is from RNAcentral.
GUGAAGAACGCAGCGAAAUGCGAUAAGUAAUGCGAAUUGCAGAAUUCAGUGAGUCAUCGAAUCUUUGAACGCACAUUGCGCCCUGUGGUAUUCCGCAGGGCAUGCCUGUUCGAGCGUCAUUUCAACCCUCAAGCUCUGCUUGGUGUUGGGCCCUGCCCGCUGCGGCCGGCCCUAAAGACAGUGGCGGUGCCGCCUGGCCCUGAGCGUAGUACAUCUCUCGCUCCAGUGCCCGGUGGUAGCCUGCCAGAACCCCAACUCUCGUGGUUGACCUCGGAUCAGGUAGGGAUACCCGCUGAACUUAAGCAUAUCAAUAAGCGGAGGA